Molecule: ribosomal RNA, 253 nt
Filed under: uncultured bacterium
Lineage: Bacteria
Description: partial 16S ribosomal RNA
Rfam family: Bacterial small subunit ribosomal RNA
Source: RNAcentral
UACAGAGGUGGCAAGCGUUGUUCGGAAUUACUGGGCGUAAAGGGCGCGUAGGCGGCCUACUAAGUCAGACGUGAAAUCCCCCGGCUUAACCUGGGAACUGCGUCUGAUACUGGAAGGCUUGAGUAUGGGAGAGGGAUGUAGAAUUCCAGGUGUAGCGGUGAAAUGCGUAGAUAUCUGGAGGAAUACCGGUGGCGAAGGCGAGUCUCUGGACAGUUACCGACGCUGAGGCACGAAGGCCAGGGGAGCAAACGGG